CAGUAACGGCGAGUGAACAGGGAAAAGCUCAAAGUUGGAACCUCCUGGCUUAGGUCUGGCGGAUUGUAAACUAAAGCUCUAGAGUAGUUUGGCUGGCCCGGUAAAAAAGUUCUCUGGAAAGGGACGACAAAGAGGGUGAAAUCCCCGUUUUUGGCCGGAGCAUAGUCUCACGUUUGCUCUUUAGCGAAGAGUCAGGUUGUUUGGUAUUGCAGCCUAAAGUUGGAGGUAAAUCUCUCCUAAAGCUAAAUAUUGACGAAAGACCGAUAGCGAACAAGUACCGUGAGGGAAAGAUGAAAAGCACCUUGAAAAGGGGGUCAAAAAGUACGUGAAAUUGCUGAAAGGGAACGGUAUGAAAUCAGACUGUCUUUUUGGUAAUCAGCCUGGGCUUUGGCCUGGGUGCACUUGCCAGUAAGUACAGCCUACGACAAUUUGAAGCGUGGGAAAAAAUCAGGGGGAAUGUGGCCUCGGCUUCGGCGGAGGUGUUAUAGCCCUUUGAAAAAUACCAUGCUUUGGAUUGAGGACUGCAGUGAGCCAUUAGGGAUGAACUGUAGGCGCUUAGUUUCGGUAAGGAAGGAAUCUCUGCUUCGGGUGGUGCCUUUUUUACCGAGAUUAACCCGUUUACUUUUUCUUUUUCUCGCUUAGGUCGUAGGCAUAAUGAUUUUAUAUCACCCGUCUUGAAACACGGACCAAGGAGUCCACCAUGAUUGCGAGUCUUUGGGUGUAGAAACCCAUGGGCGGAAGGAAACUGACCAAGAUAUGAAGGCGCAAGCUGGCAAUAUCCUCCAGCGAGGACGUUUUAUACUGAAUUGACUGAGAGAAAGCAAUUAUGAUGGGACCCGAAAGAUGGUGAACUAUACUUGAAUAGGGUGAAGCCAGAGGAAACUCUGGUGGAAGCUCGUAGCGAUUCUGACGUGCAAAUCGAUCGUCAAAUUUGAGUAUAGGGGCGAAAGACUAAUCGAACCAU
This 964-nucleotide ribosomal RNA is filed under the name Absidia panacisoli. Its description in RNAcentral is "partial large subunit ribosomal RNA". It matches the Rfam family "Eukaryotic large subunit ribosomal RNA", at positions 81 to 943 of the family's 3401-position model. Lineage: Eukaryota; Fungi; Mucoromycota; Mucoromycetes; Mucorales; Cunninghamellaceae. The record is from RNAcentral.